Lepus europaeus (European hare) is the source of this 822-nucleotide long non-coding RNA. RefSeq lists it as uncharacterized. Lineage: Eukaryota; Metazoa; Chordata; Mammalia; Lagomorpha; Leporidae. The record is from RefSeq and is a predicted model, not a curated record. The transcript has 3 exons.
AACUGAAAAUGAAGAGAAAAAGAUGACAAGGUUAGAACCCCAAACCACUGAAACUCAAGGAGCAAGCUCACAGAGCAGCAGGCUAAGGUGGCAAAGGCCGAGCCCCAGGGCGCCGACGAACUGAGCGUCUGUUUUCCCUGAGAUGCCCUGGAGAACAGAGACGUGACACCCCCCCCCCCUUCUCUGACGAGGCUCAGCAGACCUACACAGUGACAGGAUUCCCUCUGCACUUCAUGUGACAGGAACACUAGGUUCACUGGUCACCAAGCAGAAAACCAUUUCAGCAAUAGAAGUCGGGCGGAACACAGAGCCGCACACACGGCCAGAGGCUGACAGCAGACAAAUCACAGGCUGGCUUCCGGCACUGCCGACAAGACACCCCAGGGCACCCGGUGCAAGCCCCAGAUGCGCCUAGGGACAGGCUGAGCAACUGACGUGACGGGCACAGGAACUCGAGCUCCAGCUGUGGCUUCACACUGCUCUCAGAGAGGCACUCAUCCUUGUUUUACUCUGAAACCCCCUGCUGCCUGCUAAUGCUACAGCCACAUGUUUCACGUCAGGUGUCACGUACGUGGAACCUGUGAGAAUUCUUAGCAUGUCAGGUGUAACAACCAGAAUUGACCACGCCCACCUUCCCACCUCAGGCUUCCGCCAGAGUCCGUGGUCACGUCUGUGACGGUCUAGGACGCACUGAGCACUCAGAGCUGAGAGCACACUGCUACCUGAAUGGAAUGGGACCAGUAUCCUGUGGUCCUCGUGGAAAUCCCCAGCGUAGAGACGGCGUGAUGGGCGUACACUUUCGGCGAAGGCACCAACCAGGGG